GACGAACGCUGGCGGCGUGCCUAACACAUGCAAGUCGAACGGGGCAGCAAUGCCCAGUGGCGAACGGGUGCGUAACACGUGAGGAACUUGUCCAUCGGCGGGGAGUAGCCGGCCCGAACGGCCGGGUAAUACCGCGUACGUCGGCGAGACCGCAUGGUCUUGCCGGGAAAGCAGCAAUGCACCGAUGGAGAGCCUCGCGGCCUAUCAGCUAGUUGGUGAGGUAAUGGCUCACCAAGGCGACGACGGGUAGCUGGUCUGAGAGGAUGAUCAGCCACAUUGGGACUGAGACACGGCCCAGACUCCUACGGGAGGCAGCAGU
This 319-nucleotide ribosomal RNA is filed under the name uncultured bacterium. RNAcentral's name for it is "bacterial SSU rRNA". It matches the Rfam family "Bacterial small subunit ribosomal RNA", at positions 28 to 355 of the family's 1533-position model. The record is from RNAcentral.